GAUGAACGCUGGCGGCGUGCCUAAUACAUGCAAGUCGAGCGAACAGAUGAGGAGCUUGCUCCUCUGACGUUAGCGACGGACGGGUGAGUAACACGUGGAUAACCUACCUAUAAGACUGGGAUAACUUCGGGAAACCGGAGCUAAUACCGGAUAAUAUAUUGAACCGCAUGGUUCAAUAGUGAAAGACGGUUUUGCUGUCACUUAUAGAUGGAUCCGCGCCGCAUUAGCUAGUUGGUAAGGUAACGGCUUACCAAGGCGACGAUGCGUAGCCGACCUGAGAGGGUGAUCGGCCACACUGGAACUGAGACACGGUCCAGACUCCUACGGGAGGCAGCAGUAGGGAAUCUUCCGCAAUGGGCGAAAGCCUGACGGAGCAACGCCGCGUGAGUGAUGAAGGUCUUCGGAUCGUAAAACUCUGUUAUUAGGGAAGAACAAAUGUGUAAGUAACUAUGCACGUCUUGACGGUACCUAAUCAGAAAGCCACGGCUAACUACGUG
RNAcentral lists this ribosomal RNA (497 nucleotides) under uncultured bacterium. RNAcentral describes it as "partial 16S ribosomal RNA". It matches the Rfam family "Bacterial small subunit ribosomal RNA", at positions 28 to 507 of the family's 1533-position model. The record is from RNAcentral.